UACGGCCAUAUAACAUUGAAACAUUGGUUCUCAUAUGAUCACCAAAGUUAAGCAAUACUGAGCCUGGUCAAUACCUAGAUGGGUAACCACUUGGGAAUACCAGGUGCUG
This is a non-coding RNA of Acanthosepion pharaonis, 109 nucleotides long. The record is from the annotation of a GenBank genome assembly. Lineage: Eukaryota; Metazoa; Mollusca; Cephalopoda; Sepiida; Sepiidae.